This 681-nucleotide ribosomal RNA is filed under the name Shigella flexneri. RNAcentral's name for it is "partial 23S ribosomal RNA". It matches the Rfam family "Bacterial large subunit ribosomal RNA", at positions 998 to 1680 of the family's 2925-position model. The record is from RNAcentral. Lineage: Bacteria; Pseudomonadati; Pseudomonadota; Gammaproteobacteria; Enterobacterales; Enterobacteriaceae.
CUAACGUCCGUCGUGAAGAGGGAAACAACCCAGACCGCCAGCUAAGGUCCCAAAGUCAUGGUUAAGUGGGAAACGAUGUGGGAAGGCCCAGACAGCCAGGAUGUUGGCUUAGAAGCAGCCAUCAUUUAAAGAAAGCGUAAUAGCUCACUGGUCGAGUCGGCCUGCGCGGAAGAUGUAACGGGGCUAAACCAUGCACCGAAGCUGCGGCAGCGACGCUUAUGCGUUGUUGGGUAGGGGAGCGUUCUGUAAGCCUGUGAAGGUGUGCUGUGAGGUAUGCUGGAGGUAUCAGAAGUGCGAAUGCUGACAUAAGUAACGAUAAAGCGGGUGAAAAGCCCGCUCGCCGGAAGACCAAGGGUUCCUGUCCAACGUUAAUCGGGGCAGGGUGAGUCGACCCCUAAGGCGAGGCCGAAAGGCGUAGUCGAUGGGAAACAGGUUAAUAUUCCUGUACUUGGUGUUACUGCGAAGGGGGGACGGAGAAGGCUAUGUUGGCCGGGCGACGGUUGUCCCGGUUUAAGCGUGUAGGCUGGUUUUCCAGGCAAAUCCGGAAAAUCAAGGCCGAGGCGUGAUGACGAGGCACUACGGUGCUGAAGCAACAAAUGCCCUGCUUCCAGGAAAAGCCUCUAAGCAUCAGGUAACAUCAAAUCGUACCCCAAACCGACACAGGUGGUCAGGUAGAGAAUA